This 515-nucleotide ribosomal RNA is filed under the name uncultured bacterium. RNAcentral describes it as "partial 16S ribosomal RNA". It matches the Rfam family "Bacterial small subunit ribosomal RNA", at positions 355 to 880 of the family's 1533-position model. The record is from RNAcentral.
UGGGGAAUAUUGCACAAUGGGCGCAAGCCUGAUGCAGCAACGCCGCGUGAGGGACGACGGCCUUCGGGUUGUAAACCCCUUUUAGUAGGGAAGAAGCGAAAGUGACGGUACCUGCAGAAAAAAGCACCGGCUAACUACGUGCCAGCAGCCGCGGUAAUACGUAGGGUGCAAGCGUUGUCCGGAAUUAUUGGGCGUAAAGAGCUCGUAGGCGGUUUGUCGCGUCUGCUGUGAAAAACCCGAGGCUCAACCUCGGGCCUGCAGUGGGUACGGGCAGACUAGAGUGCGGUAGGGGAGAAUGGAAUUCCUGGUGUAGCGGUGGAAUGCGCAGAUAUCAGGAGGAACACCGAUGGCGAAGGCAGUUCUCUGGGCCGUAACUGACGCUGAGGAGCGAAAGCGUGGGGAGCGAACAGGAUUAGAUACCCUGGUAGUCCACGCUGUAAACGAUGUCGAUUUGGAGGUUGUGCCCUUGAGGCGUGGCUUCCGGAGCUAACGCGUUAAAUCGACCGCCUGGGGAG